GCCAGGCAUGUGGUGCAUACCUGUCAUCCCAACUACCUGGGAGGCUGAGACAGGAGGAUCGCAGGAUUCUAGUCCAGCCUGGACGACUUAGCAAGACCCUGUCUCAA
This 107-nucleotide small RNA is filed under the name Marmota monax (woodchuck). Lineage: Eukaryota; Metazoa; Chordata; Mammalia; Rodentia; Sciuridae. The record is from RNAcentral.